This 253-nucleotide ribosomal RNA is filed under the name uncultured bacterium. RNAcentral describes it as "partial 16S ribosomal RNA". It matches the Rfam family "Bacterial small subunit ribosomal RNA", at positions 524 to 776 of the family's 1533-position model. The record is from RNAcentral.
CACGUAGGCACCAAGCGUUGUCCGGAUUUAUUGGGCGUAAAGAGCUCGUAGGCGGCUUGUCACGUCGGGUGUGAAAGCCCGGGGCCUAACCCCGGGACUGCAUUCGAUACGGGCAGGCUAGAGUGUGGUAGGGGAGAUCGGAAUUCCUGGUGUAGCGGUGAAAUGCGCAGAUAUCAGGAGGAACACCGGUGGCGAAGGCGGAUCUCUGGGCCAUUACUGACGCUGAGGAGCGAAAGCGUGGGGAGCGAACAGG